Molecule: ribosomal RNA, 440 nt
Filed under: uncultured bacterium
Lineage: Bacteria
Description: partial 16S ribosomal RNA
Rfam family: Bacterial small subunit ribosomal RNA
Source: RNAcentral
CCUACGGGAGGCAGCAGUGGGGAAUAUUGCACAAUGGGGAAAACCCUGAUGCAGCAAAGCCGCGUGAGUGAUGACGGCCUUCGGGUUGGAAAGCUCUGUCUUCCGGGACGAUAAUGACGGUACCUGAGGAGGGAGCCACGGCUAACUAAGAGCCAGCAGCCGCGGUAAUAGGGCGGUGGGGAGCGUUGUCCGGGUUUACUGGGGGUAAAGGGGGCGUUGGCGGGCUUUUAAGUGAGAUGUGAAAUACUCGGGCUCAACUUGAGUGCUGCAUUUCAAACUGGAGGUCUAGAGUGCAGGAGAGGAGAAUGGAAUUCCUAGUGUAGCGGUGAAAUGCGUAGAGAUUAGGAAGAACACCAGUGGCGAAGGCGAUUCUCUGGACUGUAACUGACGCUGAGGCUCGAAAGCGUGGGGAGCAAACAGGAUUAGAUACCCGGGUAGUC